RNAcentral lists this ribosomal RNA (1430 nucleotides) under Desulfovibrio psychrotolerans. RNAcentral's name for it is "partial 16S ribosomal RNA". It matches the Rfam family "Bacterial small subunit ribosomal RNA". Lineage: Bacteria; Pseudomonadati; Thermodesulfobacteriota; Desulfovibrionia; Desulfovibrionales; Desulfovibrionaceae. The record is from RNAcentral.
CGGCGCAGCUACCAUGCAGUCGAGCGAUAAGCCCUUCCGGGGCGAGUAUUAUGGCGCGAGGUGAAAACGCCUGGAUAAUCUACCCCUCGGUCUGGAAUAUCACUUGGAAACGACUGAUUAUACCCGAUGUACUGGAAACGGUCAAGGGGGUCUCUGCUUGAAACUUCUGGCUUUGGAUGAGUCCCCCUCUCAUUAACUAAACUGUAGGGGAACGGCCUUCCCUGGGAACCAUGACUUACACGACUUAAAAGGUGGACUGCCCCCCUGGGACUGGAAACCCGCCCCAAAUCCUACCGGAGGGAGCAGUGGGGAAUAUUGGCCCAUGGGGGAAACCCUGACCCCACCACCCCCCCUGGAGGAAGAAAGCUUUCCGGUCUGAAACUCCUUGCUUUAUGGAACAAACCUGAGAGUACUAAAAUGCUUCGCCAUUGACGGUACCUCUCCAGGAACCACCGGCUAAUUCCGUGCCCGAGCCCGCGGUAAUAUUUACUGGUGCAAGCGUUAAUCGUAAAUCACUGGUUUAUAUGCGCUCGAAAGUUGCUUUGCUUAUCAGGUGUGAAAUCCCACGGCUCAACCAUGGAAUUGCCCUUGAAACUGCAUUGAUUUCCUUCUGGAGAGGGUAGUGGAAUUCCGAGUGUAAGAGUGAAAUCCGUAGAGAUCUGCUUUCAACACCUGUGGUGAAGGCUGACUACCUGGACCGAUACUGACACAGAGGAUAGAAAGGGUGGGGAGCGAACAGGACAGGAUAACAUGGUAGUGCAGUCCGUAAAGGAUGGAUAGUAGGUUUGGGGUGGUUGGCAUUAGGUGCCCUAGUUACCGAGUUAACUCUAUAGCUAUGGGAGUUCGGUAGCAAGGUUGCAACUCAAAGAAUUAAACGAAGGGCCGCGCAAGCGGUCGAGCAGGUGGGCAUGUUCGAUAAUUCGAGAAGAACCUUACAUCGGCACCACAUCCCGGGAUCCUUCCCGAAAAGGAGGGGUGCUCUUAGGAGAACCAGGCAACAGGACAUGCAUGGCUGUCGUCUGGUCGUCUCGUGUGGUGUUGGGUUAGUUUAAGUAACGAGCGCAACCCAUAUUCUUAGUUGCCAUCAGGUCAUUAUGGGCAGCAUAGGGAGACUGCCCCGGUUAACCCCGAGGAAGAGGGGGGAUGGUCAAGUCAUCAUGGCCCUUACGCGUCCAGGUACACACGUACUACACAAUGCAUACAAAGGGCAGCGAUACCGUGAGAGGAGCCAAUCCCAGAAAAAACGUAUCAGUCUUGAUUGGAGUGUGCAACUCUCGCCCAUGAAGUCGGAAUCGCUAGUAAUCCCGGAUCACCAUGCCUGGGUGAAAGUGUUUUCGGGCCCUGUACACACCCCCCGUCACACCACGAAAGAUGGUUGUACCCGACAUCUCGUGAAGUCACGCAAGCGAGCAGCCGCCGACGGUUGGCCU